Long non-coding RNA from Alligator sinensis (Chinese alligator), 718 nucleotides. RefSeq lists it as uncharacterized. The transcript has 5 exons. The record is from RefSeq and is a predicted model, not a curated record. NCBI's taxonomy places the organism in Eukaryota, Metazoa, Chordata, Crocodylia, Alligatoridae.
GAUAAUUGGCAAUUCUAAUUAAAUUUUUGACGUGGCGAAAAACAAUUGGCUAUCAUACAAACAAAACCCUGCUACAUUUGCGCCAAAGGGAAAGACAACUUGGUCCGCACCUUGGAGUAAAUCUGACAAUUUGAUCAGUUGUCAGCGUCUUCCCGCCGCGACCUCCCUGGCGUACCCUUGACCCGCAUGCCCGAUAAGCCGGCCCGUAUAUGUCUGCAGAACGACCGAACGAACUCUAAGCUGUAACUAACUAAGUAUAUCUGACCUCCGUCUUUCACCACCUUGACGGCGUGCUGGAAGUUUCAGAUACAGACAUUUAAGAAGUGGUUAAAAGCUUCCUUGCAAAAAAGUGUAGAAGCCAGUGACUGCUGCUGAACACCACAACAGGACACAACAGAGGUCCAGUGUCUAUGGGCAUGAUUCUAGACCCAACAAAGGGCAAGUGACCUGAUGAAUCUGCGCCUCUACUUUUCUGCAACAGGAAAUCUCCGAGCAAUGCUGGUUCCUCCACUUGGUCCUCUUCCUCGUCCUCUGCAGGUGGAAUUGCUGGCUGAGAGGUUUUCAAGAUGGGACGCCCAAAGGGCCAAGAUCAUUCUGCAGCUGGAAUCAGCCUUCUCAGGCCUGGAAUAUGAGGAUGUUGGCUAUUAACUUUUCACAACAUGCAUCACUUCAGGGAGCUGCAGCUUUGUCAGCAGUCUAAGUAGCUCACCUCCUCAUG